Long non-coding RNA from Folsomia candida, 3257 nucleotides. RefSeq lists it as uncharacterized. The transcript is spliced from 5 exons. The record is from RefSeq and is a predicted model, not a curated record. Lineage: Eukaryota; Metazoa; Arthropoda; Collembola; Entomobryomorpha; Isotomidae.
CGCCAGCAGCACUACUACAAUUCUUCCUCCUCCUCCUCCUCCUCAUCUCAAAAUAUACACACACAAGGUUUCGUGCCAUUUGUCGCCGCCACCGCCAGUAGUAGUACCAGCAACCACGACGACGACGAUCUAAAGUUGGUUUCGUGCCCUUUUGUCGCCGCCACCGCCAGUAGUUGUACCAGCAGCAGCGACGACCAAUACUUUUGUUCUUAGUUUCGUGCCAUUUGUCCCCACAACUGCCAGUAGUAGUACCAGCAACCACGACGACGACGAUCUACAGUUGGUUUCGUGCCUUUUUGUCGCCGCCACCGCCAGUGUAGUAGCAGCAGCGACGAAGACGACCAAUACUUUUGUUCUUGGUAGCUCUCCCACGGGUCCUGCCAUUUAACGGGUCCGUCCCCUCCCCCACGGGUCCUGCCAUUUAACGGGACCGUCCCCUCUCCCACGGGUAUUACCAUUUAACGGGAUCGUCCCCUCUCCCACGGGUCGGGCGUGGACCUGACCGUCCCCUCUCCCACGGGUCGGGCGUGGACCUGACCGUCCCCUCUCCCACGGGUCGGGCGUGGACCUGACCGUCCCCUCUCCCACGGGUAUUGCCAUUUAACGUGACCAUCCCCUCUCCCACGGGUAUUACCAUUUAACGGGAUCGUCCCCUCUCCCACGGGUCGGGCGUGGACCUGACCGUCCCCUCUCCCACGGGUCGGGCGUGGACCUGACCGUCCCCUCUCCCACGGGUCGGGCGUGGACCUGACCGUCCCCUCUCCCACGGGUCGGGCGUGGACCUGACCGUCCCCUCUCCCACGGGUAUUACCAUUUAACGGGAUCGUCCCCUCUCCCACGGGUCGGGCGUGGACCUGACCGUCCCCUCUCCCACGGGUAUUACCAUUUAACGGGAUCGUCCCCUCUCCCACGGGUCGGGCGUGGACCUGACCGUCCCCUCUCCCACGGGUAUUGCCAUUUAACGUGACCAUCCCCUCUCCCACGGGUCGGGCGUGGACCUGACCGUCCCCUCUCCCACGGGUAUUACCAUUUAACGGGAUCGUCCCCUCUCCCACGGGUCGGGCGUGGACCUGACCGUCCCCUCUCCCACGGGUAUUACCAUUUAACGGGACCGUCCCCUCCCCCACGGGUCCUGCCAUUUAACGGGACCGUCCCCUCUCCCACGGGUCCCGCAAUUAAAUAAUCUAGAGCCCGUUAUAACGGGCUAAAAUCCUAGUUUUCUACUAAAAAUCACACUAAACUCACACGAGCUUCCCUCCUUGAACGAACCUGGUUAAUUAUUAAUUGAUUAAUUAACCCAAUUAAUUAAGUUAAACACCUCUGAUCUUAACUAAAGCUGAGGCAAAUUUCAAGAUGAUCAAAUUUCCGCAAAUUUUUAAAGAUUACCGAGGAAGGUCAAGUUACGUAUCUUUCAUAACUGUAUUUUUCCCCACAUAUUUUUCAUAUCAAAUUGCAGAUCUCAAGUAAAAUUGGAAACAUUGGUGUUUAUUAACUGGAUUGCAAACAUUGAGUUAAUUGGUUCUCCUUCGUUAUUAGUCUUUGUUCCAUUUAAAUGUUUAAGAAGAAAUCACUUCGGGUUAAAAAACCAGGUCCAUCUGGGAUUCUCAUAACUAGGAAAUGGUUCUUUAAAUUAAUUUUUGACGUUAAAAUUUACAAAAUAACCCAAAUUUUUGAAAUCUCUUAUAAAAAAAGUUAGAUUUAGAUUAGACCUUAGCAAAAUACUUUUUCAAUUAUGAGGCACAAAUUUAUAUCGUGCUUUAUUAAUUAGUUUACAUAUUAAUCAAGAUUUUAUUUUAGCCUGUUUUUGCACAAUUUUUUCACACAAUCUUUGCUGAAAUUAGAGCGACAUGUUUUAUUUUCAGAACUUGCAAAACUUGAAGUUUUAAUACAUGUCAACAUACUUCAGUACGGUCACCAAUUAGUUUUUUUGAACUUGGAUAGUUCACAAACUUGUUGACAAUAUUUUAGGAUGUAGAAAAUAACUCAUCCUUGAAAACCGUGUCUAUUUUUUGUCGCAAGUCUUACAACACACAAAUGUAUUCUUGGAACGCCCAAAUAUAGUUUGGUUUUUUUUAAUAACGAAAAUAAUUCAGAUAACUUUUUAAGAUUAUAGUGAUGGCUAUGAUAGUAAAUUAUAUCUUGAUUGAACGUAAAAAACUUUCCAGGAACUUAAGGAAACUCUUUAAAUCUAAGCAAAGGCGAGAACUACAAGAACUAGGUUAGCUUAAACUUAGAAAUGGCACUUGAGACAUUUUCGUAGAAGAUGGAUGAAGAGUAUGCACAGAAAAGGUGUCAACUAAAUCGUACCUUUGUCGCCCAAUAUGUAAAGAAAUUACCGUAAUCAGGGAAAGAUUACAAUGCAUUUGCACCCAGAUUUUUCGUCGUAAACUUCAAAUAAUAAAUAAUUCAAAACUUAACCUGGAAAAUUCACGAAUAUUGGUUAGGAAAACUCACGACUUUUAAAAUAAAAUUGUCCGAAAAAGUAAAUUUAACAAAAUUUGUAAUCAGAUAUUUUAAUGUUUGCAAACUAAUUUUGCAAAUAUUUUUAAAGUUUCACGCUACGUUUAAAGUCGAUCUGAUCGUCAAAUUUUUUUAUUUGGUAUGUGAACCAAUUCACAUACACGUUUACAAAUCUGCAAAGAUAUUCCAGAAAUUUGUAGGUUUACGAUCCAUUUAUCUCCAAGUCUAUAAAUUGUGUAUAACGAUCGCAGACCUAAAUGUAACAUUCUUUUAAAAAAACAGUUUUUACAAGUACUUUAAAAGUUUUCGAUUCAUUUCCCCAAUGAAUUUCCUUUUCUUACAUUUUAUGAAGGCUCAAGUUACUAUUGUAACAUGGAAAAACAAAAGUUCGCACAUUUUUACAAUUAACAAAAAUCUAUUCGAUUAAAUUGUGUUAUUUACCUUUGUAAAAUUAUGGGACUCGCUGGUACAAAGAGAUGCGUGUCACAACGUUAGAAAAUUUAGGGUAGAUUUGUAACUUUUUUUCUUGUCAAGUAACCUGUGCAAAUUAUUUGCAGUUGUAAGUAUGUUGGUCUUACCAACAUAACAUGUAUACAACAAUUGGGUAAUAAUCUCGUAAAACCCCGUUUUAAAAAUUGCACCAAAAAUAUACUAUCAUUUAGUUGCAAUGUUUCUCAACUUGUAAAAAGAGCAAUUCUUAAAACUAGAACCGUCGUGUGUAUAAUUAUUAGGUCUCUGAUAGUAGAUUUUCUGUGGAAUUAUCAGGGUUGGGCAAAAUACAUGGGUUGCAAAAUACA